RNAcentral lists this ribosomal RNA (465 nucleotides) under uncultured bacterium. Its description in RNAcentral is "bacterial SSU rRNA". It matches the Rfam family "Bacterial small subunit ribosomal RNA", at positions 917 to 1382 of the family's 1533-position model. The record is from RNAcentral.
GGGCCCGCACAAGCGGAGGAACAUGUGGUUUAAUUCGAUGAUACGCGAGGAACCUUACCCGGGCUUGAAUUGCAGAGGAAAGAUCCAGAGAUGGUGAUGCCCUUCGGGGCCUCUGUGAAGGUGCUGCAUGGUUGUCGUCAGCUCGUGCCGUGAGGUGUCGGCUUAAGUGCCAUAACGAGCGCAACCCCUUUCUUUAGUUGCCAUCAGGUAAUGCUGGGCACUCUGGAGAUACUGCCACCGUAAGGUGUGAGGAAGGUGGGGAUGACGUCAAAUCAGCACGGCCCUUACGUCCGGGGCUACACACGUGUUACAAUGGCCGGUACAGAGAGAAGGUUGCUUGCAAAAGUAAUCAAAUCCUUAAAACCGGUCCCAGUUCGGACUGGGGUCUGCAACUCGACCCCACGAAGCUGGAUUCGCUAGUAAUCGCGCAUCAGCCAUGGCGCGGUGAAUACGUUCCCGGGCCUU